Molecule: ribosomal RNA, 431 nt
Filed under: Anaplasma phagocytophilum
Lineage: Bacteria; Pseudomonadati; Pseudomonadota; Alphaproteobacteria; Rickettsiales; Anaplasmataceae
Description: bacterial SSU rRNA
Rfam family: Bacterial small subunit ribosomal RNA
Source: RNAcentral
AUAAUCCCUGCGGGGGAAAGAUUUAUCGCUAUUAGAUGAGCCUAUGUUAGAUUAGCUAGUUGGUAGGGUAAAGGCCUACCAAGGCGAUGAUCUAUAGCUGGUCUGAGAGGAUGAUCAGCCACACUGGAACUGAGAUACGGUCCAGACUCCUACGGGAGGCAGCAGUGGGGAAUAUUGGACAAUGGGCGCAAGCCUGAUCCAGCUAUGCCGCGUGAGUGAGGAAGGCCUUAGGGUUGUAAAACUCUWUCRGUAGGGAAGAUAAUGACGGUACCUACAGAAGAAGUCCCGGCAAACUCCGUGCCAGCAGCCGCGGUAAUACGGAGGGGGCAAGCGUUGUUCGGAAUUAUUGGGCGUAAAGGGCAUGUAGGCGGUUCGGUAAGUUAAAGGUGAAAUGCCAGGGCUUAACCCUGGAGCUGCUUUUAAUACUGCCA